AUCUACGGCCAUGCUACCUUGAGCAAGCCUGAUCCUGUCUGAUCUCAGAAGCUAAGCAGGAUCGGGCUUGGUUAGUACUUGGUUGAGAGACCACCUAGGAAGACCAGGUGCUGUAAGCG
Ribosomal RNA from Pteropus vampyrus (large flying fox), 119 nucleotides. The record is from Ensembl. NCBI's taxonomy places the organism in Eukaryota, Metazoa, Chordata, Mammalia, Chiroptera, Pteropodidae.